Molecule: non-coding RNA, 2463 nt
Organism: Meleagris gallopavo (turkey)
Lineage: Eukaryota; Metazoa; Chordata; Aves; Galliformes; Phasianidae
Source: RefSeq, a predicted model, not a curated record
GCAAGCUGUAAAAGCACCUUAUUUGUUUGUGUGGAGGGCACUGAUGCCACCACAGCACAAGGCCAUCGGAAAACCAAGUUCACAGCUAAAAUGAUAGGUGUGGAGGUGACAGCUACAGAUUCCAUUCUGGGGAGUGCGCAGACCCAUGUCAGCAAAAUUUCACCAAAUGAAUUGCAGAUGCUCUGCAGCGCCUGGCAGUUACGUGGUGGAAAGCUGAACUUCCACUCAUGCUGGGUUUUACAGGACGGAUAUCAAUCUGCUCCCUUAUCAGCUCAGCAGCUUAUCACAGCUGCACAGAUAGGAAAGGACAAGCGGAGCGUGCACGCGCCAAGAGACUGUGGCAUGGCAUGGAGUAGAAUAACCAGGCAAACCUCAGUCCAGUAGAAAAUGAAGUCAAACUUUCUAUAGUUCUUUGAAAGAGCAUUGCCAGUGGCUGAAUUUUAUUCUGUGGAAAAGCCAAGCUGAAAGCUUCUCUUAUUUGCACUGCUGUUGUGUCAGGGAUAAUCUAGAACUGGCUCCUAAUUGCUGCAUCGGUGCUUCUCCCAGCUCAAGGAGGAACACCGCUGCAGUUCCUCAUCUGUCCUCCCUGUGGCACCCACCUGGGGCCACUGGAAGGGACUGGCAGUGCCUGAUGCCAGCUACAUUUCUGCUUUUCGGUGCUUCCAAACAAGUAUCCCUCCAAGAUGCAAUCCUCCUACCUGAGAGAAGCCACCUAUACUCAUCAGUGUCUUUGUUGAGAUGUUCCUAAAGGAAACCUUCUCCAAAGAAAUAUGCAUCUCCAAAUAACACGUAACUCCAAAUAAAAGAAGUCUCUAUCAGAACUGUGCUCACCUGGUUGUUCUCCAGCACUCUACAGUACUCAUGCAUCAUGUCUCAGGCCAUGAUAACAUAUUCUGUUUGUUAUUGUUUAGCACCAGGAACAUGGGUUGUGCAACAACAAACACUGUCCCACUCCCAGACAGAGCAGCUCAACACCAUGGGUGGGCUGCAUCCCUCUGCUUCAGUUCCAGGCUUGCUGGUAGCAGUGAAAGAACCUUGUUGGGUUUGAGAAGCUCAGUAAUAUGGGCCUUAGGCCAACCACUGAGGCUGAAGUUAGAGCCCAGUUGGACCUGAUCGCAACAUGGUACAGGGGAAAUGCGUUUCCCUUUCAAGCCUUUGGAAUCAGUUCAUUCUUGGAAAGCAGUUCCUGAGACCAUAGGAAUUUAUGCACAUCAGGCCUUUCAUUGUCAGAUGGAUAAUUUCACACUGAAAACACUUUGACUCCCAAAACGUCGCUCCUUGAAAGUUUUCUGGACCUGGCAUGCAUUUGUCUUUGAAUCUCUCACUACUCUCUAGCCUUUCUCUAGUCACAGUAGUACAAGUGAAAGCUUGUCACUGUACCUUUUCACAAAGGUGUAUUCAUAAGAGUUUCCUCUACUUCAAUUUCUGUCCUAAAAUAUCAGCAGAUCUGCAAGCCCUCUUCUGAUCACAGGCUUAUGUUUCUGAGUUCUAGGAACAGGCUUUCUGUUUUGCUGCAUAUAAGGUUCUCCUGCCUUUAGUAACUGGGCACAUAGAAAAAGCCUCAGCAGAGUCAGAGAGAAGGUGAAAAGCUGAGAGGUGGUUCCUGGGCAUCCUCUGCUGGCAUGCCUCAGGGGCUUACAUCCGGUACACAAGGUGUUAUGGAGAUCCAGCAAGGGAUAUGCACACUCAUCCAAAGCCUGAUCUGCCUUGCAUACGAGUCCCACUUCCAGCAUUAGUCUACUUUUGCACUGGCCCCUGCAGGAGACUGUUGCUGCCUUUAGCAACCCAGUUGUGUACUUGGACAGCUCAUCAUGUUUGAGGAAGAAAACAACAGAAUUCAUGCUCUAAAUUGUACCAUUUGGAGAUCCCAAGGAUUUAGACGGGAUGGCUAAGCCAAGCAUCCUGAACUCCUAGUUAAAUUGAUGAUACAGGACACCAUCCGUGUCAGCUCGAAACUGCAUUCUAGAUCACAAUCAGUGACGACGCAUUUGAACCAACUUUUGAUGCAAUCUUUCAAGAAAAGAAAAAACCCCACACCAGCAUCCGCAAAAAACCAGAGGAGAACCACUGACGCAAAAGUCAUGGUACUUAAACACCACCUAGCUGUCCCCAUCCACAGCUCUCCAGCCAACAAGCAGCUUGAACACCAGCAUCUCACACAACUCCUGCUGCCCGAGCCACCACCAUGGAACGCCGAACAGAAAUCACAUUUGCGAUCUUCCUCUUCUGUUCACUGGUUCCUUUGGUCUCCUUGGCACCAAGAGCUGCCUCAGAAGAAGGGAAAACUACUAUAGGACAGAGGCAGAAGCAAUAUACUACCAGCAUAAAGCCCCUUCUAGUCCUAGAAAAGCGAGCAACUACCUUGUUCAAAAACUACAAUGGAUGUAGUCCUAUAACAGAAGCAACCAAAACCUGGCUAACUACUGACACCCAAGUCAAUGAGAUGAUGAAGAAAAUACCCAA